Molecule: ribosomal RNA, 163 nt
Filed under: Schefflera sp. Wen 8377
Lineage: Eukaryota; Viridiplantae; Streptophyta; Magnoliopsida; Apiales; Araliaceae
Description: 5.8S ribosomal RNA
Rfam family: 5.8S ribosomal RNA
About the family: 5.8S ribosomal RNA (5.8S rRNA) is a component of the large subunit of the eukaryotic ribosome. It is transcribed by RNA polymerase I as part of the 45S precursor that also contains 18S and 28S rRNA. Functionally, it is thought that 5.8S rRNA may be involved in ribosome translocation.
Source: RNAcentral
AAUGACUCUCGGCAACGGAUAUCUCGGCUCUCGCAUCGAUGAAGAACGUAGCGAAAUGCGAUACUUGGUGUGAAUUGCAGAAUCCCGUGAACCAUCGAGUCUUUGAACGCAAGUUGCGCCCGAAGCCAUUAGGUUGAGGGCACGUCUGCCUGGGCGUCACGCA